This 685-nucleotide ribosomal RNA is filed under the name uncultured bacterium. RNAcentral's name for it is "bacterial SSU rRNA". It matches the Rfam family "Bacterial small subunit ribosomal RNA", at positions 40 to 749 of the family's 1533-position model. The record is from RNAcentral.
CGGCGUGCCUCAUACAUGCAAGUCGAGCGGAUGUAGCAAUACAUCAGCGGCGGACGGGUGAGUAACACGUGGGCAACCUGGCCUUAAGAGGGGGAUAACGUCCCGAAAGGGACGCUAAUACCGCGUAAAUCAGCGAAACCGCAUGGUUUUGUUGGAAAAGGAGCAAUCCGCUUAAGGAUGGGCCCGCGGCCUAUUAGCUAGUUGGUAGGGUAACGGCCUACCAAGGCGACGAUAGGUAGCCGACCUGAGAGGGUGAACGGCCACACUGGAACUGAGAAACGAUCCAGACUCCUACGGGAGGCAGCAGUAGGGAAUAUUCCGCAAUGGGCGAAAGCCUGACGGAGCAACGCCGCGUGAGUGAAGAAGGUUUUCGGAUCGUAAAGCUCUGUCAACAGGGACGAAACAAGACGGUACCUGAGAAGGAAGCCACGGCAAACUACGUGCCAGCAGCCGCGGUAAUACGUAGGUGGCAAGCGUUGUCCGGAAUAACUGGGCGUAAAGCGCAUGUAGACGGCAUGAUAAGCCAAAUGUGAAAUGUAGGGGCUCAACCCCUGCACUGCGAUUGGAACUGUCAAGCUUGAGUGCAGGAGAGGCAAAUGGAAUUCCCAGUGUAGCAGUGAAAUGCGUAGAGAUUGGGAGGAACACCAGUGGCGAAGGCGAUUUGCUGGACUGCAACUGACGUUGA